RNAcentral lists this unclassified non-coding RNA (242 nucleotides) under Archaeospora sp. RNAcentral's name for it is "partial contains 5.8S ribosomal RNA and internal transcribed spacer 2". The stretch from base 1 to 71 matches the Rfam family "5.8S ribosomal RNA", at positions 84 to 154 of the family's 154-position model. Lineage: Eukaryota; Fungi; Glomeromycota; Glomeromycetes; Archaeosporales; Archaeosporaceae. The record is from RNAcentral.
GUGAAUCAUCAAAUUUUUGAACGCAUAUUGCACUCUCUGGUAUUCCGGGGAGUAUGCCUGUUUGAGGGUCAUUUGAAAUAAUAUAAAUUGCAAGAUUUCUCGGGAUUUAAAAUGGGUUGUCGAUUUGUUUUGGUCUCAUAAAAUCCAAGACAAGCGCAUUUUCUUGGGUUGCGUGACACUUUUAGUUACCUCGUGACUUAACCAGGAAGCAUCGGACGUGUUAUGAUUUUUGCAAGAGAUAA